This 329-nucleotide unclassified non-coding RNA is filed under the name soil metagenome. RNAcentral's name for it is "partial contains 5.8S ribosomal RNA, internal transcribed spacer 2, and large subunit ribosomal RNA". The stretch from base 1 to 120 matches the Rfam family "5.8S ribosomal RNA", at positions 35 to 154 of the family's 154-position model. The record is from RNAcentral.
GAUGAAGAACGUAGCGAAAUGCGAUAAGUAAUGUGAUUUGCAGAAUUCAGUGAAUCAUCGAAUCUUUGAACGCACAUUGCGCCCUCUGGUAUUCCGGGGGGCAUGCCUGUUCGAGCGUCAUUAUAACCACUCAAGCUCUCGCUUGGUAUUGGGGUUCGCGGUUCCGCGGCCCCUAAAAUCAGUGGCGGUGCCUGUCGGCUCUACGCGUAGUAAUACUCCUCGCGAUUGAGUCCGGUAGGUCUACUUGCCAGCAACCCCCAAUUUUUACAGGUUGACCUCGGAUCAGGUAGGGAUACCCGCUGAACUUAAGCAUAUCAAUAAGCGGAGGA